Molecule: ribosomal RNA, 445 nt
Filed under: uncultured bacterium
Lineage: Bacteria
Description: partial 16S ribosomal RNA
Rfam family: Bacterial small subunit ribosomal RNA
Source: RNAcentral
GUGAGGAAUAUUGGUCAAUGGACGAGAGUCUGAACCAGCCAAGUAGCGUGAAGGAUGACUGCCCUAUGGGUUGUAAACUUCUUUUAUAAGGGAAUAAAGUGAGGGACGUGUCCCUUUUUGUAUGUACCUUAUGAAUAAGGAUCGGCUAACUCCGUGCCAGCAGCCGCGGUAAUACGGAGGAUCCGAGCGUUAUCCGGAUUUAUUGGGUUUAAAGGGAGCGUAGGUUGACGUAUAAGUCAGCUGUGAAAGUUUACGGCUCAACCGUGAAAUUGCAGUUGAUACUGUAUGUCUUGAGUGUACAAGAGGUGGGCGGAAUUCGUGGUGUAGCGGUGAAAUGCUUAGAUAUCACGAAGAACUCCAAUUGCGAAGGCAGCUCACUGGGGUACAACUGACACUGAGGCUCGAAAGUGUGGGUAUCAAACAGGAUUAGAUACCCUAGUAGUCC